RNAcentral lists this ribosomal RNA (253 nucleotides) under uncultured bacterium. RNAcentral describes it as "partial 16S ribosomal RNA". It matches the Rfam family "Bacterial small subunit ribosomal RNA", at positions 524 to 776 of the family's 1533-position model. The record is from RNAcentral.
UACGGAGGGUGCGAGCGUUGUCCGGAAUCACUGGGCGUAAAGGGCGCGUAGGUGGCGUCGCAAGUCAACGGUGAAAGCUCGGCGCUCAACGCCGAGUCGGCCGUCGAGACUGCGAGGCUCGAGCACUGUAGGGGCAGAUGGAAUUCCGGGUGUAGCGGUGGAAUGCGUAGAGAUCCGGAAGAACACCGGUGGCGAAGGCGGUCUGCUGGGCAGUUGCUGACACUGAUGCGCGAAAGCGUGGGGAGCAAACAGG